RNAcentral lists this ribosomal RNA (450 nucleotides) under uncultured bacterium. RNAcentral's name for it is "bacterial SSU rRNA". It matches the Rfam family "Bacterial small subunit ribosomal RNA", at positions 354 to 796 of the family's 1533-position model. The record is from RNAcentral.
GUGGGGAAUAUUGGACAAUGGGCGAAAGCCUGAUCCAGCCAUGCCGCGUGUGUGAAGAAGGUCUUCGGAUUGUAAAGCACUUUAAGUUGGGAGGAAGGGCAGUAAGUUAAUACCUUGCUGUUUUGACGUUACCGACAGAAUAAGCACCGGCUAACUUCGUGCCAGCAGCCGCGGUAAUACGAAGGGUGCAAGCGUUAAUCGGAAUUACUGGGCGUAAAGCGCGCGUAGGUGGUUUUGUAAGUUGGAGGUGAAAUCCCCGGGCUCAACCUGGGAACUGCCUCCAAAACUACUGAGCUAGAGUACGGUAGAGGGUAGUGGAAUUUCCUGUGUAGCGGUGAAAUGCGUAGAUAUAGGAAGGAACACCAGUGGCGAAGGCGACUACCUGGACUGAUACUGACACUGAGGUGCGAAAGCGUGGGGAGCAAACAGGAUUAGAAACCCCUGUAGUCC